Non-coding RNA from Cyanistes caeruleus (blue tit), 5078 nucleotides. The record is from RefSeq and is a predicted model, not a curated record. NCBI's taxonomy places the organism in Eukaryota, Metazoa, Chordata, Aves, Passeriformes, Paridae.
UGGGAUCGCCGCGCGUUCGUACCGCAGCGCCCGGCUCUGACCGCUCGCUUCGCGCUCGCCGGCCGUCUGUGCCCUGACUGCUAUGCCCGCACCAGCAGCGCACUGCUUUGAGAUUUAAUUCCUUGACAUAGAAAUGCAUUAGGAAUCUUAUUUUGCAUCUCCAGAAUUAGCAGACGUGAAGUAACUCCGUGCAGGUGUUGUGUCGGGAUUUCGGUCAGCCUGCGGUUUACUUCAGCACCUGCAUCAAGGCUCUGCCCUGUCCCUUCGUGUCCCAGUCCCAUUCCUGCCCUUUUUCCUGUCACUGCAUCAUUCACGUAGGCGCUGAAAUCUCUAUGAUGAGCCUUAAAUAAGGUUUUCUGGGUGUUGGAACUCUGGGGACAUAGGCCAGAACACGCUUAUAUUCACGUGACGGGGCGUGUGGUCGGCUCCGCUGGGAACAGCUUGUAAGUAUCUAUUCAAAAUCAAUAGAAGCAGGCCUACAUAAAUGCAGUGGAUGGAUCUACUUCAACUCCAAGGGAGAUCUAUAUUCAGAUCACUUCUGACAAGACUUGGAUUUGCAGCAGUUUUGUAGCUGCAGAGGAGCAGACUGAGUUGCCCCUGCAGCAGGAAAACUGAGCAGUGUGGAAGUAAGAAGGAGAAGCCAUCUCAGUGAGAGCUUUGCCUUCAUCCUUGGGGUUGGAGAGCUGUGCUCAGAUUGAGUGGAGACCUCUGGAAUGAAGAUUUACAGCAAGGAUAUCAUUGAAGGAAUGUGUAUUCUACUCAGGUAAGGGAGAAUUGUUCCUCCUGUCAUUUCUUUGUGACAUUCCAAUAGUGUUUGCUUUAUUUAAUGGCUGCACAAAUUACCUCCCAGGGGAAGCUGCACAUUUAAUAAUACUUACGUCCCUUGGCCUAAUUCUCUUCUAUCUUGGUUUUUUGUUAGCCAUCCACCCCUGUGCAUGGUAUAUAUCCACUAUUAGGAGGAGUACAUUUUGGGGAUUCAGUUGCAUUUUUCCUUCAUCCACAAAAAACAUACAGUGACCCAAAGGUCAUGUCAGUGAUAUUGUACUUCUGGCCAAAGCUGUCUACUGGUUUGUCCCACUUACUUGCAGGGGUGACUGGCAUACCUGCAGUGUAGAACUACACAACCCUUCCAGAUGUACACCAGCCCUGCAGGAACAGACAAGUCAUGAUGAAGAAUCCAAAAUCUUACUGGUAGAGGCCACACUGGUAAAACCUAGAGCAGCACUUCCACAGGCACAUCGGUCUUAGGUCCCCAUAAAGGACUUUCGUGUUUGAGAUUUUGUAGGGGACAGAGAGUCCCUUGGUGGAAUUGUGUGGGAGUGAGCAUACGUCAUAGCCAGUGGGUUCCUACUGUGAUCUUUCUGUACUGGAAACAGGCCUCAGACCACAACUCCACUAAAGAAAUCAUCAAGGCACUGAUAACUGCAGAGCUGGUUACACAAAGAAGUUGACUUUGAAAUGUGUGGUGCUGCAAUGUAAUUGCUUCAUAUAAACUAGUAUUCAGGAGCAGUCUCCAGCUGAACACAGGGCUUCUUCCCGAGUCGUUUCUGCUUGGAGAAAAAGAGCGAGGAUGCUUCAGCUGGACACCAGGGUACCUGGUGGAAUUGCUAGGCUGUGGGAUAGCUCCAGUGGCACCCAUGGGGGCAGGCCCUCUCAGGCCCAGAUCUUGAGAUCUGUGAUCUCAAGGAGUGUGAGUCUGGAAAGGAGCAAAGUCAAACCCCUGAAUUUUGCAAGAGCGAACUUCCAGCUCUUUAAGGAGUUGGUGGAGGCCAGCAAUGCAUUGUGUCCCUCAGGACCCUGUCUUGGGACCAGUACUCUUGAACAUCUUCAUCAGUGACACAGACAGUGCGAUCAAGUGCACCUUCAUCAUGUUUGCAGAUGACCUGCAGCUGAGCAGUACAGCUGACUCAAAAGAAGGACAGCAUGGGACCUGGACAAAUUCAAGAAGUGGCCCAUAAAAACUUCCUGAAAUUCAACAAAUCCAAGUGCAAAGUGCUGCACCUGGUUGAGAGCAAUCCCAGAUAUAAGCACAGAUUGGGAGAAGUCACUGAGAUCAGUCCUGCAAAGGACUUGGGUAUUCUCAGGGAUGAAAAGCUGGCAUGAGCCAGGAGUGUGUGCUCACAGUCCAGAAAGCUACAUCAAAAGAGCUGUGGCCAGCACAUCAAGGGGGGUGGUUCUCCCCCUCUACCCUGCCCCACGAGGUCACCACCUGAAGUCCUGUGUCCAGCUCUGGGAGCUUCAGUACAAGAAAGAUAUGGAUGUGUUAGAGUGGGUCUAGAGAAUGGCCAUGAAUAUGGUCAGAGGAAUGGAGUACCUCUACUACAAAGACAGGCUGAUGUUCUGCCUCAGCUGGUAGGAGAUAGUCAUAGAUUUGGGGUCCCAGAGGAGGCAGUGUGCUUUGGGCACCUGAAAGCUGCCUCCCUCCCUUGCAGCCCUGCUCUGAGUCCCAAACGGCCUUUAAUGCUGCUUUUCAAUAAAUCUGAAGGCUCAUGGAAGUAACCUUACCAAAGCCUUACUAACAGGACUCUGCAAUGUAUGUCCUACUUGGAAUCCCUAAGUUCUUCUGAGAGAGAAAUGCCACUUAAAAAUUGUUAGUAAUAGGAAAUGCUUGUGUGAGUAUUAUAGGGUUUUGCACUGGCCAAGGUGUGCUGGAUGACAGGAAAAUGGACUGUAUGAGGAUUGUGCAUGGUGAUGAGGUGCUGGGAGAGAGGCAGGGAAGAGGAUGAAGGGCUGGCUUUGAGGCAGGCUCCCUCUUGCAUUCCAUGUUUGUAGGGAGGGAGACUGUAGUGUGGGGCUGUUCCUCAGUGCCAUAAACUGGUCUCAGAUGGAGCUGCCAUGGAGUGCAUCCUCCUCUCCAGCCAGAGCUGUACUGGCCUUGCACAUGCAGGGCUGGCAGGGAGCUGAACUGGCUGAAAGCUAACACUAUGUGUCUUCAGAAAAACAAGCUCCACUACCCAGUCACUGUAUCAUUGCACUGGUGCCAGUGUUAGUGCCAGGGUGGGGGACAGCGAGGGUGGCUGGAGCCCCAAAUUCUACCAGCAGGGUUGUGUCCCAACUCCUUGAAAGACAUCUGGCUCCUGGCUGACUUCUUCCUUCCUUGUCAAUCCAAUGUGCAGUGCAGUGCCAAAGGGGUGCUCAGUUCUCAAAGGCUGCGGGCAUGUUAAUAAAUCAAAUGGCUGAGGGCUUCUUCCUUGGCCCCAAGGGCAGAGGGCACAGCUAAACUCUUCUCAUCCAUCCUUCCUCUUGGGGAAUGGUCACUGGAUUUUUCAUAUCCUCCAAACUGGACUGGACUGUAGUAUGGAAACAAAAUCGUGCUGGAGAGUGCACUGGUAGGAAUUAAAUGGCAUGAGAGGUCAAUGAUGGCUCAGGAGGGUGGAUGCCAGUGCGCAGGAUUCAGCUGCAACACGCCAUGGAGGUAUGGGAGGAGGACCACUGGGAACCACUAGUUGCCACAGGGCAACUUAUCCUGGAGGGUUAUUCAGAGUUCUCUGAGAGGCAGUGCACUCUAUAAGUAUAGAUACCCUUGUGGCCCCAAAAUAAAUAUGGAUCUGUAAAAAUACCGUGCAUUUCAUAGGUGACAGUGCUGUAAGGAACCAUGCCUUUCAGUGUUGUGCAGUGUUUGGAUAGCCCAGAGACGUGAGACAUGCUGCACAGCCUGCUCUGUGAGGGCCUUUGUGGCAAGAUCUUCAAAUGUCCUGGCCUCUCCACGCUGAUAUUUAAAGCCAUCAAGGGCCUAAUUCAACCCACCUCGCAGAGAUUUACACCAAAAGUUGCCCAAACAGAUGCAGAUCCCAGCAUCAUCUGGCACCUAGUGGGUUCAGUCUCUGGAGGGAGCUUCCAUGAGCAGCUUCUGGAAACACCACAGUACUGCUCAGUGUCCCAGCACUCAGCCCCAGCUUGGCCCAGGACUUGGAACAUCUGAGUGGAAGACUGUUUUGAAGACAAGGGUUUAUUUUGGCAUUUUACUACAUAAAUUUGUUGUUUGCUAACAGAUUGGAAUAUGUAUUUGGAGUUUUGCAUAUUCCUUCACACUAGGCUGUAGGAUAGUUUGGAUCCAUCUGGUUAAUCUACUAAUAGAGCUGAGCAAGUGAUAAGGAAUAGGGUGUGCUACAACCAUCUAAGUGCUUCUCUUGCAAGGUCAGCUAUCCCCAUAGCUGGGAAUAAUGUUCAAAUAUAUUGCUUUCACAAAGAAAUAAGCCCUGCUGAGGAAUUGGGAGAACUGUGAACCUGGUCCAGUUUGAUUGUAUCUUGCCAGACCAGUAUGGGUCUAUACCAGACUAUAUUCCACACAUAUCCAUAAUUCACACUACACAAUACUAAAUGCAGUAUUUGCAACAUAGCAAAGCAGAUGAUCUGCAAGAUAUAGCUGCCUAUUUAAAUAGUGUCCUAAAUAUUUAUCCAUAAGAAUUUCCAUGAUGCUUCAGCUGUAGAAAGAGUGGAAAAAUGUGGGCAAAAAAAAAACAAAGAUAAAGGCAAAGUUUGAAAAUCCAGGAUGGAAAACUCAAGGGUCUAGGAUUACAUGCCUACAAUACACUCCCAGCAGUUUAGUCAGGGAUGUUCAGCCUCCCCUGACAGCAGAAAAGACAUUGAACAAUAGGAGAUAUCCCUCAGAAUUUAGAAGCUACAAAAUAUGGAGCAGACUUUGUGUGCCUUAAUAGCAGGUGAAGUUGAAAUUUCACCUGUGCCCAGCCAGCACCAACUUCUGCCAGCACAGGCAGAGCAUGUGACAUGAAAUCUUAUCCCCAGAGUUGUGAGCUGAUAAGCAGAAUAGUUUGUAAACUUCCAGCUACACCUCCUGCAAAUGAUUCAACUCAGGUGAAUGUCUCUGCCUCCAAGGGCAGAAGUGUGGGGCAAACCUGAAGGUGGGUCUCUUUCCCCAUAAGUCUCUCUCCUUUGAUAUUAAUUCAGUUUUCACAUGUGCAAUAGCAGCAGCACAUAUUCUCAGGCUAAGCUUUUCAUGCACACUUUGAAUCGGCACUGUGGCCACGCUGAUGCCUUAAGUUUUAGCUUUCAUAUUUUCUAGAUUCCAAACUGCAUUAGUAUAUAACUCUGAAAUUCAUAUAAAGUGUUAGCAAGUU